UACGUAGGGGGCGAGCGUUGUCCGGAAUUACUGGGCGUAAAGGGCGCGCAGGCUGUUAUGCGAGUCUGCUGUGAAAUGUACCGGCUCAACCGGUGCCUUGCGGCGGAUACUGCAUAGCUGGAGUGCUGUAGAGGCAAGUGGAAUUCCCAGUGUAGCGGUGAAAUGCGUAGAUAUUGGGAAGAACACCGGUGGCGAAGGCGACUUGCUGGGCAGCAACUGACGCUGAGGCGCGAAAGCCAGGGGAGCAAACGGGGAUUA
Molecule: ribosomal RNA, 258 nt
Filed under: uncultured prokaryote
Description: partial 16S ribosomal RNA
Rfam family: Bacterial small subunit ribosomal RNA
Source: RNAcentral